Molecule: long non-coding RNA, 451 nt
Organism: Homo sapiens (human)
Lineage: Eukaryota; Metazoa; Chordata; Mammalia; Primates; Hominidae
Gene: HNRNPD-DT
Product: HNRNPD divergent transcript
Exons: 2
Source: RefSeq, marked validated
ACUCUCCCUGCCGUCGCCGCCCGGGACCGGGUGACAUUGAGGUUUUCGUCUAUCGCCGCUGGGCCGAUAGGGCUUCUUUUUAAGAUUUGGCUUUCCAAGUAAGAUUUUUGUUUGCCUGCUUUUCUCCUGGAAUUUUUUUGUUUUUGGUCGAAGAAGCAGCUCCCACUUUGCAGUUGUGUCAGCCAAUCACGACAGCUUCCCAGACUUCCGUGCAAGUGCCUGCUUUGAGGCCAAGGUGGCCAUAAAUGGCAGCUCCUCAGGCUCCUCCACAAUCUCUGGUUUCUUAUGUUUCUCCAUGAGCUCAGCUUUUUCAUCAACUCCAAUGCUUCAAGCCGAAGUCAUUAGUGAAUGUUCUACAAUCCUUCAGCUGCAGCUCCAGACCUUCACUCCUCCAGCUUCUCCUACAUCCAUCUAACCCUCAAUUCCUACAUUAAAUCUCUUUAUUCCAGAA